This is a long non-coding RNA of Lethenteron reissneri (Far Eastern brook lamprey), 382 nucleotides long. RefSeq lists it as uncharacterized. Lineage: Eukaryota; Metazoa; Chordata; Hyperoartia; Petromyzontiformes; Petromyzontidae. The record is from RefSeq and is a predicted model, not a curated record.
GGAGACGAGGCGACGCUCCCCGCCGGUGGCGGUAGCGCCCCCAUCAGCUUCAUGGCGGCCAUAGCGGUGCUGGCGAUCCUCCCCUUCGUGGUGUGCACCGCGUGGGGCACACGGAGUGCCGGCAAACGUGGCGCGGACGAGCAAGGAGGGAGCUCCCCGAGCCUGGUGCCCGAGAGAGAUGCCGUCUCUGCCGAGUGCAGCGACGAGGAGGCCGCCACGGCGCGGAUGACGGAGCGGCACGCGGAGACGGAGGUGUAAGAGGAGAAGAGGUGGAGGAUGAGGUGUCAAGAGUCGGAGUCGGAAGUUUGUGUGUUUGUGGGCAAGGCGGCCACUGUAGUAGUACCGUCCUUGUUGCUGUUGUUAUAUUGAUGGUGAAAAGUUA